CGGCAAAAGAAACAGUCACUAGAGUGAAUUGGCAACCAACAGAAUGGGAAAAAAUUUUUGCAGUUUACCCAUCUGACAAAGGGCUGAUAUCCAGAAUUUACAAAGAACUCAAACAGAUUUACAAGAAAAAAACAAACAAGCCCAUUCAAAAGUGGGCAAAGGAUAUGAACAGACACUUUACAAAAGAAGACAUAUAUGAGGCCAACAAUCAUAUGAAAAAAUGCUCAUCAUCACUGGUCAUCAGAGAGAUGCAAAUCAAAACCACAUUGAGAUACCAUCUCACGCCAGUUAGAAUGGCAAUCAUUAAAAAAUCUGGAGACAACAGAUGCUAGAGAGGAUGUGGAGAAAAAGGAACACUUUUACACUGUUGGUGGGAGUGUAAAUUAGUUCAACCAUUGUGGAAGAAAGUGUGGCGAGUCCUCAAGGCCUGAGAAAUAGAAAUUCCAUUUGACCCAGCAAUCCCAUUACUGGGUAUAUAUCCAAAGGACUAUAAAUCGUUCUACUAUAAGGACACAUGCACAUGAAUGUUCAUUGCAGCACUGUUUACAAUAGCAAAGACCUGGAACCAACCCAAAUGCCCAUCGAUGAUAGACUGGACUGGGAAAAUGUGGCACAUAUACACCAUGGAAUAUUAUGCAGCAAUCAAAAAUGAUGAGUUCAUGUCGUUUAUAGGGACAUGGAUGAAUCUGGAGAACAUCAUUCUCCGCAAACUGACACAAGAACAGAAAAUGAAACACCGCAUAUUCUCACUCAUAGGUGGGUGAUGAAAAAUGAGAACACAUGGACACAGGGAGGGGACAUGGAUGAAUCUGGAGAACGUCAUCCUCAGCAAACUGACACAAGAACAGAAAAUGAAACACCGCAUAUUCUCACUCAUAGGCGGGUGAUGAAAAAUGAGAACACAUGGACACAGAAAGGGGAGUACUAAACACUGGGGUCUACUGGGGGGAAAAGGGGAGGGCCAGUGGGAGGGGGAGGUGGGGAGGGAUAGCCUGGGGAGAAAUGCCAAAUGUGGGUGAAGGGGAGAAGGAAAGAAAAGCACACUGCCAUGUGUGUACCUACACAACUGUCUUGCAUGCUCUGCUCAUGUACCCCAAAACCUAAAAUCCAAUAAAAAAUUUAAAAAAAAAGGUACUCUCCACUUCCAAAAUAUAUAAA
Molecule: long non-coding RNA, 1158 nt
Filed under: Callithrix jacchus (white-tufted-ear marmoset)
Lineage: Eukaryota; Metazoa; Chordata; Mammalia; Primates; Cebidae
Description: lncRNA (ENSCJAG00000055374.2)
Source: RNAcentral